Molecule: ribosomal RNA, 551 nt
Filed under: uncultured bacterium
Lineage: Bacteria
Description: bacterial SSU rRNA
Rfam family: Bacterial small subunit ribosomal RNA
Source: RNAcentral
UAGGGAAUCUUCGGCCNUUGGGGGCAACCCUGACCGAGCAACGCCGCGUGAGUGAAGAAGGUUUUCGGAUCGUAAAGCUCUGUUGUAAGUCAAGAACGAGUGUGAGAGUGGAAAGUUCACACUGUGACGGUAGCUUACCAGAAAGGGACGGCUAACUACGUGCCAGCAGCCGCGGUAAUACGUAGGUCCCGAGCGUUGUCCGGAUUUAUUGGGCGUAAAGCGAGCGCAGGCGGUUUGAUAAGUCUGAAGUUAAAGGCUGUGGCUCAACCAUAGUUCGCUUUGGAAACUGUCAAACUUGAGUGCAGAAGGGGAGAGUGGAAUUCCAUGUGUAGCGGUGAAAUGCGUAGAUAUAUGGAGGAACACCGGUGGCGAAAGCGGCUCUCUGGUCUGUAACUGACGCUGAGGCUCGAAAGCGUGGGGAGCGAACAGGAUUAGAUACCCUGGUAGUCCACGCCGUAAACGAUGAGUGCUAGGUGUUGGAUCCUUUCCGGGAUUCAGUGCCGCAGCUAACGCAUUAAGCACUCCGCCUGGGGAGUACGACCGCAAGGUUG